Molecule: transfer RNA, 75 nt
Filed under: Candidatus Woesearchaeota archaeon
Lineage: Archaea; Nanobdellati; Candidatus Woesearchaeota
Description: tRNA-Glu
Rfam family: tRNA
About the family: Transfer RNA (tRNA) molecules are approximately 80 nucleotides in length. Their secondary structure includes four short double-helical elements and three loops (D, anti-codon, and T loops).
Source: RNAcentral
GCUCCGUUAGUGUAGUCCGGUCAAUCACGCGGCCCUUUCGAGGCCGCAACCCGGGUUCGAAUCCCGGACGGAGCA